AUUAUUCUUUAGUUCUGGAAGUCAGGUCAGUCAAAGCGCUGGGUAAUGAUGGGGGCUUCCAGGAUGGUGCCUUGUUGGUGCAUCCUCACCUGAUGGAAGGAGGGCGGACUAGAGGGGUAAACUCUCUCCGAACCCUUGUUUAUAAAGGGAUUAAUCCAUUCACAACAGUGGAGCUCUCAUGACUUAAUGACUUAAUCACUUCCCAAAAUGUGCACCUCUUAAUCCCACCACAGUGGGCAUUAUGUCUCAACAUGAAAUUUGCAGGGGACACCAGGACACCAUAUUUAAACCAUAGCAACCUUGUUUCUUUUCUUUUUCUUUCUUUUUUUUUUUUUUUUUUUUUGAGACGGAGUCUCGCUCUGCCGCCCAGGCUGGAGUGCAGUGGUGGUGCGAUCUCGGCUCACUGCAACCUCCACCUCCUGGGUUCAAGUGAUUCUCCUGCCUCAGCCUCCCGAGUACCUGGGACUAAGGCACGCACCACCACGCCCACCUAAUUUUUGUUUUUUUAGUAGAGACGGGGUUUCACUAUGUUGGCCAGGAUGGUCUCCAUCUCUUGACCUCGUGAUCCGCCCACCUUGGCCUCCCAAAGUGCUGGAAUUACAGGCAUGAGCCACUGUGCCCAGCCCACAUUCAGAUUUUCUACACUGCGACCUUGCUAAACUCUCUUAUUAAUUCUAAUAACUUAUCUACAGAUUCUUUUGGGUUUUCCAUAGACAAUGAUACUGACUACAAACAAUAGUAGUUUUGCUGUCUUCCCUUAUAAUCCUUAUAUUCUUCUUUCUUCUUUUUUGCGGAUCACCUGAGGUCGGGAGUUCAAGAUCAGCCUGACCAUCAUGGAGUAACCCCAUCUGUACUAAAAAUACAAAAAAUUAGCCGAGCAUGGUGGUGCAUGCCUGUAAUUCCAGCUACUCGGGAGGCUGAGGCAGGAGAAUCGCUUGAACUUGGGAGACGGAGGUUGCAGUGAGCCAAGAUCCUGCCAUUGCACUCCAGCCUGGGGUACAAGAGCGAAACUCUGUCUAAAAAAAAAAAGAGUUUAAAUAAAGUUUCCUUAGGAAUAUUUUCUCAACAUCUUACCCUCUCCUUAUUGCUCUGUGCUCCAGGGAUGCCAUUGAGCAGGUUUGUACCUGCCUCCUUUCAACCUGACUAUAUAUUACUGGAGAGAAGAAGUCUUAAGUGAGGGUGCAGAUGGCGGCUUUCAAGAAUUUGAAGAACUACCAAGGGGAGGGAGUGCAGGAGGAGGAAGUGCAGAGGGAGUCUUGGCAGCCCUGGGUGACAGAAUAAAAGGGGAGAUGGAAGGGCAGGAAAGCAGAUUUCCACAAGCAGAAAGAGAAGCUUUUUAGCAUCAUUGUUGUCUAACCAGAGAAUAGGUUGCUUUUUGAGACAGUGAGCUUCCCAGCUCUGGAAGUACUCAAGCAGGGCUAGAUACACACCUACCAAGGAUGCUGUACAGACCCCUCACCCCCAAUAUUGGGUGGGGUAUGGACCACAUUAUGUCUCCUGUCUCUUCCAACUUCAGUCUUGAGAUUUGUAAAGAAUUGGAUUCAUUUCUUCUUUUUUUAAAAUUGAACUUGGUUUUAUUAACAUCUUGUGGGUGUUUUUAAGUUCUGAGUAUUCAACUUUGACUAUGACGAAAAUGUCUAAUUUAAAGAGGUAACAAGGUAUUUAACACAUUGUGUAAUAUGAGCCAGAUAAAUUGCUUUCAUAAUGAGGGCUCCGUCCAAAUAAGGCAGAGGCCAUGAUCCCAGGUGGAAGGAAUGGAAAUGAAUCUAUUUCAAGGCCAAUAGCUACAGCCCAAAUUCACUCAACUCUACCAAACAUACCUGCACUGCCUCAGCAACUCAUCUCUACAAUUUGACAAGACAAUCAAAAGUACAUUUUGUACUUAAUGUAAUAAGAGGCUCAGAUAUAAAUGCCUACUUUUAUAUAUUUUUAACUUAUGCAGAUAGUUUGUUAUUUAACAAAUAGGUUAAACUGACUUUGUUGCAAAUGAGAUAUGAGGAUGUGCAUAUGAAGAAUAAUUGGGCUGGGAGCAGUGGCUCACACCUGUAAUCCCAGCACUUCGGGAGGCUGAGGCGGGUGGGUCAUGAGGUCAGGAGUUCGAGACCAGCCUAGCCAAGGUGGUGAAACCCCGUCUCUACAAAAAAUACAAAAAUUAGCCAGGCGUGGUGGCAGGUGCCUGUAAUCCCAUCUACAUGGGAGGCUGAGGCAGGAGAAUGGCUUGAGUCUGGGAGGCAGAGGUUGCAGUGACCUGAGAUCGUGCCAUUGCACUCCAGCCUGGGCAACACAGUUAGAGUUUUUUUAGACAGAGUCUUGCUGUCACCCAGGCUGGGGUGUAGUGGGGCAAUCUUGGCUCACUGCAACCUCUGCUUCCUAGGUACAAGUGAUUCUUCUGCCUCAGCCUCCCGAGUAGCUGAGAUUACAGGCGUGCACCACCACAUCUGGCAAAUUUUUGUAUUUUUAGCAGAGAUGGGGUUUCACCAUGUUGGCCAGGCUGGUCUCGAACUCCUGACCUCAGGUGAUCCACCUGCCUCGGCCUCCCAAAGUGCAGGAAUUACAGAUGUGAGCCACAGCGCCCCGCGGAACUUGAAUGCCAUUUGGUUUCUCAUAGCCUAUUUUCCCUCCUUCUUAAAAAAUGGGACAAAUAAUAUUACCAAAUGAAUGUAAAUAAAGGCAUUUAGGAAAUAAUGUGGAAAAGUUUUAAAGUGUUAUUUACUUUUUCUUUUCUUUUUUAAUUUUAGAUUCAGGGGG
Papio anubis (olive baboon) is the source of this 2748-nucleotide long non-coding RNA. NCBI's taxonomy places the organism in Eukaryota, Metazoa, Chordata, Mammalia, Primates, Cercopithecidae. The record is from Ensembl.